This 475-nucleotide ribosomal RNA is filed under the name uncultured Desulfobulbus sp. Its description in RNAcentral is "bacterial SSU rRNA". It matches the Rfam family "Bacterial small subunit ribosomal RNA", at positions 916 to 1381 of the family's 1533-position model. The record is from RNAcentral. Lineage: Bacteria; Pseudomonadati; Thermodesulfobacteriota; Desulfobulbia; Desulfobulbales; Desulfobulbaceae.
GACGGGGCCCGGCACAAGCGGUGGAGUAUGUGGUUUAAUUCGAUGCAACGCGAAGAACCUUACCUGGUCUUGACAUCCCGGAGACCCUUAGGAAACUAGGGGUGCUUCCAUCUGGAAGAAUCUGGAGACAGGUGCUGCAUGGCUGUCGUCAGCUCGUGUCGUGAGAUGUUGGGUUAAGUCCCGCAACGAGCGCAACCCUUGCCUUUAGUUGCCAGCAGUUCGGCUGGGCACUCUAAAGGGACUGCCGGUGUUAAACCGGAGGAAGGUGGGGAUGACGUCAAGUCCUCAUGGCCUUUAUGACCAGGGCUACACACGUACUACAAUGGCCGAUACAAAGGGCAGCGACACUGCGAGGUGAAGCCAAUCCCGUAAAAUCGGUCUCAGUCCGGAUUGGAGUCUGCAACUCGACUCCAUGAAGUUGGAAUCGCUAGUAAUCGUGGAUCAGCAUGCCACGGUGAAUACGUUCCCGGGCCUU